This 374-nucleotide ribosomal RNA is filed under the name Mycteroperca rosacea (leopard grouper). RNAcentral's name for it is "partial 12S ribosomal RNA". It matches the Rfam family "Bacterial small subunit ribosomal RNA", at positions 964 to 1527 of the family's 1533-position model. Lineage: Eukaryota; Metazoa; Chordata; Actinopteri; Perciformes; Serranidae. The record is from RNAcentral.
UUCAACCUCACCCUUCCUUGUUCUCUCCGCCUAUAUACCGCCGUCGUCAGCUUACCCUAUGAAGGCCCUUCAGUAAGCACAAUUGGUACAACCCAAAACGUCAGGUCGAGGUGUAGCGUAUGGAAAGGGAAGAAAUGGGCUACAUUCCCUGUUACAGUGAAUUACGAAUAAUACUACUGAAACGUAUAUCUAGAAGGAGGAUUUAGCAGUAAGCAGAAAAUAGAGCGUUCUACUGAAACCGGCCCUGAAGCGCGCACACACCGCCCGUCACUCUCCCUAAAUAUAUUCUAACACCUUAACUUAAAACCUUUCACCAACAAAGGGGAGGCAAGUCGUAACAUGGUAAGUGUACCGGAAGGUGCACUUGGCAAAAC